RNAcentral lists this ribosomal RNA (497 nucleotides) under uncultured bacterium. RNAcentral describes it as "partial 16S ribosomal RNA". It matches the Rfam family "Bacterial small subunit ribosomal RNA", at positions 28 to 507 of the family's 1533-position model. The record is from RNAcentral.
GAUGAACGCUGGCGGCGUGCCUAAUACAUGCAAGUCGAGCGAACGGACGAGAAGCUUGCUUCUCUGAUGUUAGCGGCGGACGGGUGAGUAACACGUGGAUAACCUACCUAUAAGACUGGGAUAACUUCGGGAAACCGUAGCUAAUACCGGAUAAUAUUUUGAACCGCAUGGUUCAAAAGUGAAAGACGGUCUUGCUGUCACUUAUAGAUGGAUCCGCGCUGCAUUAGCUAGUUGGUAAGGUAACGGCUUACCAAGGCAACGAUGCAUAGCCGACCUGAGAGGGUGAUCGGCCGCACUGGAACUAGGACAAGGUCCAGAAUCGUACGAGAGGCAGCAGUAGGAGAUCUUCCGCAAUAGGCGAAAGCCUGACGGAGCAACGCCGCGUGAGUGAUGAAGGUCUUCGAAUCGUAAAACUCUGUUAUUAGGGAAGAACAUAUGUGUAAGUAACUGUGCACAUCUUGACGGUACCUAAUCAGAAAGCCACGGCUAACUACGUG